GGCUUAGUGGUCUAGUAGUAUGAUACCCGCUUCGGGCUUGCGAGAGCUCCUGGAUGAUAUCCAGAAAUUGCGGGUGGUCCCGGGUUCAAUUCCCGGCUGAGCCC
Non-coding RNA from Gloeophyllum trabeum ATCC 11539, 104 nucleotides. The record is from the annotation of a RefSeq genome assembly. NCBI's taxonomy places the organism in Eukaryota, Fungi, Basidiomycota, Agaricomycetes, Gloeophyllales, Gloeophyllaceae.